This 406-nucleotide ribosomal RNA is filed under the name uncultured bacterium. RNAcentral's name for it is "partial 16S ribosomal RNA". It matches the Rfam family "Bacterial small subunit ribosomal RNA", at positions 30 to 526 of the family's 1533-position model. The record is from RNAcentral.
AUUGAACGCUGGCGGCAGGCCUAACACAUGCAAGUCGAACGAGUGGCGGACGGGUGAGUAAUGUCUGGCAACCUGACCGAUGGAGGGGGCUACUUAAUAGGAAAGGUAGCUCCUCCCGCAUUCCGUCGUAUCUGCCCAGAUGGGAUUAGCUAGUGGGUGGGGUACCGGCUAACCUAGGCGACGCUCCCUAGCUGGUCUGAGAGAAUGACCAGCCACACUGGAACUGAGACACGGUCCAGACGCCGACGGGAGGCAGCAGUGGGGAAUAUUGCACAAUGGGCGCAAGCCUGAUGCAGCCAUGCCGCGUGUAUGAAGAAGGCCUUCGGGUUGUAAAGUACUUUCAGCGAGGAGGCGUUACUCGAAGAAGAAGCACCGGCUAACUCCGUGCCAGCAGCCGCGGUAAUAC